Molecule: long non-coding RNA, 619 nt
Organism: Talpa occidentalis (Iberian mole)
Lineage: Eukaryota; Metazoa; Chordata; Mammalia; Eulipotyphla; Talpidae
Exons: 3
Source: RefSeq, a predicted model, not a curated record
GAUCAUGUUGGUGUUCACUUGAUGAGUUUACAUGACAGGAAUCCAUGUAUUCACACAUCUCUAAACCCAUCAGCACCAGAGUUCCUAGCAAACAGCAAGUAUUCAAAAUCUAUUGUGAGACUUAAGCUUGGAUGGCCAAGGCACCCUUUACAAAGAGACAACCACUUCAAAGAGGGCUCUCUGAAAUGUACACAUCGCCAGCCACAGACUCUAGAUAGAGAAUCAGGCUUCCUGCUUCCCCCAGGCACUUUUGUUGGAAGAGAUCUUGGCUGAUUUCAAUAACUGAUCAGGUACCCCUAGGCACUAUUCAGUGACAAGAAAGUACUUCUUAGCCAUGAUGUACCCACAAGGAGAAGUGAGAACAUGUGUGGACACCCCCCUUUCCAGCUGCCAAAAAGGUCAACUGCUUUGCUACCUUAACCAAUGUACUGAGGUAUGCUGCAUGCCUGGGGUUCAGGAGAGACUGAAAGAAGAGUGCCCAGGACCCCCCCAGGGAGCAUCAAAGAGACCCAAUUCCUACUAACCACUUUGUAGAAACCACCAAUGGGGUGCUGGAGACCCCUCACCUAGGAUUCCCCAUGGAAUACUUAAAAGUAUUUGCUCUGACCCAUGGAUUAUG